AGAGUUUGAUCAUGGCUCAGAUUGAACGCUGGCGGUAGGCUUAACACAUGCAAGUCUUGCGAGAAAGUAUCUUCGGAUAUGAGUAGAGCGGCGGGACGGGUGAGUAACUCUUAGGAAUCUACCUACUUGAAGGGGAUAGCCCGAGGAAACUCGGAUUAAUACCGUUAACCUCCUUAGGGAGAAAGAGGGCCUCUCUUGAUGCUCUCGCUAUUAGAUGAGCCUGCGUAAGAUGAGCUUGUUGGUGAGGUAAUGGCUCUCCAAGGCUACGAUCUUUAUCUGGUCUGAGAGGACUAUCGGCCACAUUGGGACUGAGACACGGCCCAGACUCCU
This 330-nucleotide ribosomal RNA is filed under the name uncultured gamma proteobacterium SUR-FREE-31. Its description in RNAcentral is "bacterial SSU rRNA". It matches the Rfam family "Bacterial small subunit ribosomal RNA", at positions 8 to 340 of the family's 1533-position model. Lineage: Bacteria; Pseudomonadati; Pseudomonadota; Gammaproteobacteria. The record is from RNAcentral.